This 46-nucleotide non-coding RNA is filed under the name Schistosoma mattheei. Lineage: Eukaryota; Metazoa; Platyhelminthes; Trematoda; Strigeidida; Schistosomatidae. The record is from RNAcentral.
GUAAUGCUGAGGAGUCCCAUAAUAGGACGAAACGGCCUUCUAGUAU